GUUGACCUCGGAUCAGGUAGGGA
RNAcentral lists this non-coding RNA (23 nucleotides) under Drosophila melanogaster (fruit fly). The record is from RNAcentral. RNAcentral also lists the same sequence under 14 other names. Lineage: Eukaryota; Metazoa; Arthropoda; Insecta; Diptera; Drosophilidae.